Molecule: ribosomal RNA, 460 nt
Filed under: uncultured bacterium
Lineage: Bacteria
Description: partial 16S ribosomal RNA
Rfam family: Bacterial small subunit ribosomal RNA
Source: RNAcentral
CCUACGGGGGGCAGCAGUGAGGAAUAUUGGUCAAUGGACGAGAGUCUGAACCAGCCAAGUAGCGUGAAGGAUGACUGCCCUAUGGGUUGUAAACUUCUUUUAUAUGGGAGUAAAAUGUUCCACGUGUGGGAUUUUGUAUGUACCAUAUGAAUAAGGAUCGGCUAACUCCGUGCCAGCAGCCGCGGUAAUACGGAGGAUCCGAGCGUUAUCCGGAUUUAUUGGGUUUAACGGGAGCGUAGGUGGAUUGUUAAGUCAGUUGUGAAAGUUUGCGGCUCAACCGUAAAAUUGCAGUUGAAACUGGCAGUCUUGAGUACAGUAGAGGUGGGCGGAAGUCGUGGUGGAGCGGUGAAAUGCUUAGAUAUCACGAAGAACUCCGAUGGCGAAGGCAGCUCACUGGACUGCAACUGACACUGAGGCUCGAAAGGGUGGGUAGCAAACAGGAUUAGAUACCCCUGUAGUC